Molecule: ribosomal RNA, 465 nt
Filed under: Vreelandella stevensii
Lineage: Bacteria; Pseudomonadati; Pseudomonadota; Gammaproteobacteria; Oceanospirillales; Halomonadaceae
Description: partial 16S ribosomal RNA
Rfam family: Bacterial small subunit ribosomal RNA
Source: RNAcentral
CCUACGGGAGGCUUCAGUGGGGAAUAUUGGACAAUGGGCGAAAGCCUGAUCCAGCCAUGCCGCGUGUGUGAAGAAGGCCUUCGGGUUGUAAAGCACUUUCAGUGGGGAAGAAAGCCUUGGGGCUAAUACCCUCGAGGAAGGACAUCACCCACAGAAGAAGCACCGGCUAACUCCGUGCCAGCAGCCGCGGUAAUACGGAGGGUGCGAGCGUUAAUCGGAAUUACUGGGCGUAAAGCGCGCGUAGGCGGUCUGAUAAGCCGGUUGUGAAAGCCCCGGGCUCAACCUGGGAACGGCAUCCGGAACUGUCAGGCUAGAGUGCAGGAGAGGAAGGUAGAAUUCCCGGUGUAGCGGUGAAAUGCGUAGAGAUCGGGAGGAAUACCAGUGGCGAAGGCGGCCUUCUGGACUGACACUGACGCUGAGGUGCGAAAGCGUGGGUAGCAAACAGGAUUAGAUACCCUGGUAGUC